AAACCUGCACAACAAGAGAGAAAACAGAGUCACCAUAAAAAAAGAACACAAAAUAGCAAAUGGAACCUUCCCCUCCAAGGCUCCCCGAUGGUAAUUUCGAUGCAUCCUUCUCCAGGAAAAAAAUGACAGGGUAAUGUAGCUAGCUUCUACAUGCAAAAAGGUCAACAGGAGAAAAAAAAGAUAGAUUAUGGAUUAGCAGCAGUUACUGAAGCUUCAG
Molecule: long non-coding RNA, 217 nt
Filed under: Ricinus communis (castor bean)
Lineage: Eukaryota; Viridiplantae; Streptophyta; Magnoliopsida; Malpighiales; Euphorbiaceae
Description: long non-coding RNA (RCOM_LNC001935)
Source: RNAcentral